GACGAACGCUGGCGGCGUGCCUAGUACAUGCAAGUCAGGACGCACAGUUUAUACCGUAGCUUGCUACACCAUAGACUGUGAGUUGCGAACGGGUGAGUAACGCGUAGGUAACCUGCCUAUUAGAGGGGGAUAACUAUUGGAAACGAUAGCUAAUACCGCAUAACAGUAUGUAACACAUGUUAGAUGCUUGAAAGAUGCAAUUGCAUCGCUAGUAGAUGGACCUGCGUUGUAUUAGCUAGUAGGUAGGGUAAACGCCUACCUAGGCAACGAUACAUAGCCGACCUGAGAGGGUGAUCGGCCACACUGGGACUGAGACACGGCCCAGACUCCUACGGGAGGCAGCAGUAGGGAAUCUUCGGCAAUGGGGGGAACCCUGACCGAGCAACGCCGCGUGAGUGAAGAAGGUUUUCGGAUCGUAAAGCUCUGUUGUUAAGGAAGAACGAGUGUGAGAAUGGAAAGUUCAU
RNAcentral lists this ribosomal RNA (464 nucleotides) under Streptococcus anginosus. RNAcentral's name for it is "bacterial SSU rRNA". It matches the Rfam family "Bacterial small subunit ribosomal RNA", at positions 28 to 467 of the family's 1533-position model. The record is from RNAcentral. Lineage: Bacteria; Bacillati; Bacillota; Bacilli; Lactobacillales; Streptococcaceae.